CCUACGGAGGCAGCAGUGGGGAAUUUUGGACAAUGGGCGCAAGCCUGAUCCAGCAAUGCCGCGUGCAGGAUGAAGGCCUUCGGGUUGUAAACUGCUUUUGUACGGAGCGAAACGGUCUGCCCUAAUACGGUGGGCUAAUGACGGUACCGUAAGAAUAAGCACCGGCUAACUACGUGCCAGCAGCCGCGGUAAUACGUAGGGUGCGAGCGUUAAUCGGAAUUACUGGGCGUAAAGCGUGCGCAGGCGGUUAUGUAAGACAGAUGUGAAAUCCCCGGGCUUAACCUGGGACCUGCAUUUGUGACUGCAUAGCUAGAGUACGGUAGAGGGGGAUGGAAUUCCGCGUGUAGCAGUGAAAUGCGUAGAUAUGCGGAGGAACACCGAUGGCGAAGGCAAUCCCCUGGACCUGUACUGACGCUCAUGCACGAAGACGGUGGGAGGACGAAACAGGAGUAGUAUACCUACGGUAGUACCGACCGACCCUAAACCGAACUAGUACAACUAGGUUGGUUGGGUUCGUUCUACU
RNAcentral lists this ribosomal RNA (523 nucleotides) under uncultured bacterium. RNAcentral's name for it is "bacterial SSU rRNA". It matches the Rfam family "Bacterial small subunit ribosomal RNA", at positions 338 to 856 of the family's 1533-position model. The record is from RNAcentral.